RNAcentral lists this ribosomal RNA (174 nucleotides) under uncultured Acidothermus sp. RNAcentral describes it as "partial 16S ribosomal RNA". It matches the Rfam family "Bacterial small subunit ribosomal RNA", at positions 338 to 524 of the family's 1533-position model. The record is from RNAcentral. Lineage: Bacteria; Bacillati; Actinomycetota; Actinomycetes; Acidothermales; Acidothermaceae.
CCUACGGGAGGCAGCAGUGGGGAAUCUUGCACAAUGGGCGAAAGCCUGAUGCAGCAACGCCGCGUGGGGGAUGAAGGCCCUCGGGUUGUAAACCCCUUUCGGCAGGGACGAAGCGACAGUGACGGUACCUGCAGAAGAAGUCCCGGCUAACUACGUGCCAGCAGCCGCGGUAAU